AGAUGCCUCCUUGUUCCAGGCUGACAAGCCCGGGCUUGUGCUUAUUUCACUGUCUAACCCUGCCCAGGCCCCGGGGAGAAGCCUGGUAUUCUUCGUGUUUAUUUAAUUGUCAACUCUCUGUGUUCUAAGACGAUACCCUGGCCUUGACUCAGUACAACCUAGGACUGUAAGUCCCAUCAUGUCUAUGGACUUCAGUUUCCAGACAUGAAACACAAGAGGCUUGGACGAGAUUAGAAAUCAAGAACUCGAAUGCGUAUGGUCAGAGCCACGAGAGUUUCCAUAAAGGAACACAACCAUGUGGACAACUUGAUUAUGCCCUACAAAACUGAAUUCCUGUGAGCAUUCCUCUUCAAGAUGGAAGAAAAAGGGAAUAUUUCACAACCCCAAUGGUGAAACGUCUGCCUAUAGCCAACAAUACAAUCUUCUUGCUCUGUCACCCAGGCUGAAAUGCAGUGGCGCCAUCUCGUCUCACUCGGCUCACUACAACCUCCGCCU
RNAcentral lists this long non-coding RNA (495 nucleotides) under Homo sapiens (human). RNAcentral describes it as "non-protein coding lnc-IMMP2L-1:1". The record is from RNAcentral. Lineage: Eukaryota; Metazoa; Chordata; Mammalia; Primates; Hominidae.